RNAcentral lists this ribosomal RNA (838 nucleotides) under Paraphaeosphaeria sp. CBS 978.95. RNAcentral describes it as "eukaryotic LSU rRNA". It matches the Rfam family "Eukaryotic large subunit ribosomal RNA", at positions 81 to 936 of the family's 3401-position model. Lineage: Eukaryota; Fungi; Ascomycota; Dothideomycetes; Pleosporales; Didymosphaeriaceae. The record is from RNAcentral.
UAGUAACGGCGAGUGAAGCGGCAACAGCUCAAAUUUGAAAUCUGGCUCCCUUUGGGGGUCCGAGUUGUAAUUUGCAGAGGAUGCUUUGGCAUCGGCGGUGGUCUAAGUUCCUUGGAACAGGACAUCACAGAGGGUGAGAAUCCCGUACGUGGUCACCUGCCUUUGCCGUGUAAAGCUCCUUCGACGAGUCGAGUUGUUUGGGAAUGCAGCUCUAAAUGGGAGGUAAAUUUCUUCUAAAGCUAAAUACCGGCCAGAGACCGAUAGCGCACAAGUAGAGUGAUCGAAAGAUGAAAAGUACUUUGGAAAGAGAGUCAAAAAGCACGUGAAAUUGUUGAAAGGGAAGCGCUUGCAGCCAGACUUGCCCGCAGUUGCUCACCUAGGCUUUUGCCUGGGGCACUCUUCUGCGGGCAGGCCAGCAUCAGUUUGGGCGGUCGGAUAAAGGUCUCUUUCAUGUAUCUUCCUUCGGGAUGACCUUAUAGAGGAGACGUAAUGCGACCAGCCCGGACUGAGGUCCGCGCAUCUGCUAGGAUGCUGGCGUAAUGGCUGUAAGCGGCCCGUCUUGAAACACGGACCAAGGAGUCUAACAUCUAUGCGAGUGUUUGGGUGUCAAGCCCGGGCGCGCAAUGAAAGUGAACGGAGGUGGGAACCUUUUAGGUGCACCAUCGACCGAUCCUGAUGUCUUCGGAUGGAUUUGAGUAAGAGCAUAGCUGUUGGGACCCGAAAGAUGGUGAACUAUGCUUGAAUAGGGUGAAGCCAGAGGAAACUCUGGUGGAGGCUCGCAGCGGUUCUGACGUGCAAAUCGAUCGUCAAAUUUGGGCAUAGGGGCGAAAGACUAAUC